UCUACGAGUUUGAUCCUGGCUCAGAACGAACGCUGGCGGCAGGCCUAACACAUGCAAGUCGAGCGAACCCUUCGGGGUUAGCGGCGGACGGGUUAGUAACGCGUGGGAAUAUACCCUUUGGUACGGAAUAGCCUCGGGAAACUGAGAGUAAUACCGUAUGUGCCCUUCGGGGAAGGAUUAUCGCCAAAGGAUUAGCCCGCGUUGGAUUAGAUAGUUGGUGGGGUAAGUGGCCUACCAAGUCUACGAUCCAUAGCUGGUUUGAGAGGAUGAUCAGCAACACUGGGACUGAGACACGGCCCAGACUCCUACGGGAGGCAGCAGUGGGGAAUCUUAGACAAUGGGCGGCAAGCCUGAUCUAGCCAUGCCGCGUGGACGAUGAAGGCCUUAGGGUUGUAAAGUCCUUUCAGAUGGGAAGAUAAUGACGGUACCAUCAGAAGAAGCCCCGGCUAACUCCGUG
RNAcentral lists this ribosomal RNA (457 nucleotides) under uncultured bacterium. RNAcentral describes it as "bacterial SSU rRNA". It matches the Rfam family "Bacterial small subunit ribosomal RNA", at positions 1 to 507 of the family's 1533-position model. The record is from RNAcentral.